RNAcentral lists this transfer RNA (73 nucleotides) under Cricetulus griseus (Chinese hamster). It matches the Rfam family "tRNA". Rfam says of the family: Transfer RNA (tRNA) molecules are approximately 80 nucleotides in length. Their secondary structure includes four short double-helical elements and three loops (D, anti-codon, and T loops). Lineage: Eukaryota; Metazoa; Chordata; Mammalia; Rodentia; Cricetidae. The record is from Rfam by way of RNAcentral.
AGUGGUGUAGCUCAGCGGGUAGAGUGCUUGCCUAUCAAGCAUGAGGUCCUGGGUUUGAUCUUCAGUACCACAU